AUACGGAGGGUGCAAGCGUUACUCGGAAUCACUGGGCGUAAAGCGCGCGCAGGCGGCUUGAUAAGUUGGAUGUGAAAGCCUACGGCUCAACCGUAGAACUGCAUCCAAAACUGUCAAGCUAGAGUCUGGGAGGGGAAGAUGGAAUUAGUUGUGUAGGGGUAAAAUCCGUAGAGAUAACUAGGAAUACCAAAAGCGAAGGCAAUCUUCUGGAACACUACUGACGCUGAGGCGCGAAGGCGUGGGGAGCAAACAGGAUUAGAAACCCCAGUAGUCC
RNAcentral lists this ribosomal RNA (274 nucleotides) under uncultured bacterium. Its description in RNAcentral is "partial 16S ribosomal RNA". It matches the Rfam family "Bacterial small subunit ribosomal RNA", at positions 523 to 796 of the family's 1533-position model. The record is from RNAcentral.